AAAACAUCAAGCUGAGUGCCAAAUGAACAAUUUUGAUUUUGUUAAUAAAAUGCCAAUAUAUAUGUUUACAUAAAUAUAUAUUUUUAUUACUCGCAGGAAUCCCCGAAUUGCAGCAGAAGACAAAUAAAAGGUUUCAGACUUUGAAUGGUUUAUUUUCCUGGCUCUGAGCUCCGAAGAUGCUUGCCACUUCAAUUUUAAAAGGAGCAGGAAGAUAAAAAAGUUGUCAGUUUUGCAAAAAAACAAAAAAGAAAAGAUGCCUUCCGUAUCCGGGAAAUUGAUUAAUGGGCAUCCCAGGCCGUUUAACAAUUAUCCUUGAGGAAUCCCCGAAUUGCAGCAGAAGACAAAUAAAAGGACACAUUGCGCAUUAUAGAAAGUAACUCGUAAUGCUUCCUUUGCAGUUGCAAGUUUCAGACUUUGAAUGGUUUAUUUUCCUGGCUCUACGCUCCGAAGAUGCUCGCCACUUCAAUUUUAAUAGGAGCAGGAAGAUAAAAAAGUGUGUAAGGCCAUGUGAUUUAUUAAGAGGACAACUAAUUUUGGCGACGCAUAUGCUAUAAAGGCAGAUGGUCGCAUACGGGAUAGAUAUCCAAAGCCGUUCAACAAUUAUCCUCAAGUGUAAGGCCAUGUGAUUUAUUAAGAGGACAACUAAUUUUGGCGAUGCAUAUGAUACAAAGGCAGAUGGUCGCAUACGGGAUAGAUAUCCAAAGCCGUUCAACAAUUAUCCUCAAGUGUAAGGCCAUGUGAUUUAUUAAGAGGACAACUAAUUUUGGCGAUGCAUAUGCUACAAAGAUGACCUGACCGUGGACAGGAAAUUAAUUGAUAGAUAUACCAGGCCGUUAAACAUUUAUCGUCAAGUGUAAGGCCAUGUGAUUUAUUAAGAGGACAACUAAUUUUGGCGAUGCAUAUGAUACAAAGGCAGAUGUACGUGUACAAGAUGGAUAUUCAAAGCCGUUCAACAAGUAUAUGGCAAUGUGAAUGACUAAGAGGACGACUAAUUUUGGCGACGCAUUUACUUCAAAGUGUGAAACCUAUAGAACCAUUUUUCUUUUCUUAAUUGGGGUAGAGCUAAAUCUAGCAAAAAUAAUUACCUCUUCCCGAUAUUGUUUCCCUAAUCAAAGUUAAGUUAAUUUAAAAUAUGGGCAGCCUGCGAUGUUUGAUCUACCAGGAAGGGAAAUGUUCCUUCACCUACGCAAUAUAAAGAUUUCCUAGUUAUUCUUAUACUAUAUAACUGAUUUUUUAUUAAUACAUUUAUAGUAACACAUGAUUUUAAACGGAAA
This 1274-nucleotide small RNA is filed under the name Drosophila virilis. Its description in RNAcentral is "GJ25952". Lineage: Eukaryota; Metazoa; Arthropoda; Insecta; Diptera; Drosophilidae. The record is from RNAcentral.